RNAcentral lists this ribosomal RNA (253 nucleotides) under uncultured bacterium. RNAcentral's name for it is "partial 16S ribosomal RNA". It matches the Rfam family "Bacterial small subunit ribosomal RNA", at positions 524 to 776 of the family's 1533-position model. The record is from RNAcentral.
UACGAAGGGGGCAAGCGUUGUUCGGAAUUACUGGGCGUAAAGGGCGCGUAGGCGGUGCACUAAGUCAGGCGUGAAAGCCCUGGGCUCAACCCGGGAAUUGCGCUUGAUACUGGUGCGCUUGAAUGCAGGAGAGGUUGGUGGAAUUCCCAGCGUAGAGGUGAAAUUCGUAGAGAUUGGGAAGAACACCGGUGGCGAAGGCGGCCAAGUGGACUGGUAUUGACGCUGAGGCGCGAAAGCGUGGGGAGCAAACAGG